Molecule: transfer RNA, 64 nt
Filed under: Rhinodrilus brasiliensis
Lineage: Eukaryota; Metazoa; Annelida; Clitellata; Crassiclitellata; Glossoscolecidae
Description: tRNA-Val
Source: RNAcentral
CGAAAUAUAGCAUAUAUUAAUGCUCUUUACUUACACUAAAGAUAAGACGUCGUUUAUUUCGCCU